CCGACCUUAGCUCAGUUGGUAGAGCGGAGGACUGUAGUUGAGUGUAAGCUGAUAUCCUUAGGUCGCUGGUUCGAAUCCGGCAGGUCGGA
Ipomoea nil (Japanese morning glory) is the source of this 89-nucleotide transfer RNA. It matches the Rfam family "tRNA". From Rfam's summary of the family: Transfer RNA (tRNA) molecules are approximately 80 nucleotides in length. The record is from Rfam. NCBI's taxonomy places the organism in Eukaryota, Viridiplantae, Streptophyta, Magnoliopsida, Solanales, Convolvulaceae.